RNAcentral lists this long non-coding RNA (1017 nucleotides) under Canis lupus familiaris (dog). RNAcentral's name for it is "lncRNA (ENSCAFG00040003131.1)". The record is from RNAcentral. Lineage: Eukaryota; Metazoa; Chordata; Mammalia; Carnivora; Canidae.
UGAUGGGGAAAGUCUUACAGUGACAUGCGACAGUUCGUUUACUUCAAAACAACGAGACACACACGAGAAAACUGGACCUAGUGGGGAGGGCGGGGAGGAGGCAGGCGUUUCUUGAAAUCAGCCAAACAGCAUCUGGUCCUUUACCAGGGUAAUCUCAUCAAGGAACUCCUGUUGGAGCCCCAACUCUCAACCAAAAUAAACCAACAGGAACAUGUGUUUACUCAAUGGCCAGUUUCUGUUUGAAAUACGCGAGGGGAGAAGGGGUCCCUUAACCAAGUCCUAAAAGUAGACUGUUUACCGAAACAGUGGAGCAGCCCCCCCGCCCCCCGCCCCCCCCGUGUGGUCGCCCCUUUCCUUGAGGGCGGCAGCUGCCUGGGUCCGCGGCGACCCGCGGGGGGGGGGGCGCGGGGGGGCUUCGGGCCGAGUGUUUGCAGCGGGGCGGGCGCGCGCCCGGGCAGUCCCCAAGCUGAGACUUUUAAAGAGCAUGUGAGCAUGACAAGUGUCUGUCCGCAACGUGUUAGAUUUUGAAACUGCCUUGCAAUCCAGCCCGGAACUCGCAGCUCUAGCCCGGGGUAACAGACACUUGCCUGGGGUGUCUGUGUCUCGCUCUCCUCCCCCCACCCACCGCCGUCGCCGUUGGAGGAAGAGCCCCGGAGGAGCAGGGUGCGCCGCGCCGCGCCCGCGUGUCAAUGGCAGCCGCGCAUUCUGGAAGAACCCCAGGAAGAAAGGCCCGAAGGAGAAACCCGGGCGCUCGGCUGCUGUCGCCGCCGCCGAGCGAGGGAUGCGGGCGGCGUGCGCGCGGCAAGGAGGAAGGCUCGAGGUUCUGGGCUCCGCCGCCCCCACGAGGGACGGGUGACAGCGGCCCGGGAGGCGCGGAGAGCGGCCGCGCGGCCGGAGCGCUCGGUGCCGUCCUCCCGGCCUGGAAGGGGCGGGGGAGGGGCGGAGGAGCGGCGGGGCGGGAGGGGGACGGGGCGGGCGGCUGGGGGCGGAGGCAGGACCUCCUGUACCUUCCCUCUC